UGGGGAAUAUUGGACAAUGGGCGCAAGCCUGAUCCAGCCAUGCCGCGUGAGUGAUGAAGGCCUUAGGGUUGUAAAGCUCUUUUACUCGGGAAGAUAGUGACGGUACCGAGGGAAUAAGCCCCGGCUAACUUCGUGCCAGCAGCCGCGGUAAUACGAAGGGGGCUAGCGUUGUUCGGAUUUACUGGGCGUAAAGCGCACGUAGGCGGAUUUUUAAGUCAGGGGUGAAAUCCCGAGGCUCAACCUUGGAACUGCCUUUGAUACUGGGGAUCUUGAGUCCGGAAGAGGUGAGUGGAACUGCGAGUGUAGAGGUGAAAUUCGUAGAUAUUCGCAAGAACACCAGUGGCGAAGGCGGCUCACUGGUCCGGAACUGACGCUGAGGUGCGAAAGCGUGGGGAGCAAA
Molecule: ribosomal RNA, 400 nt
Filed under: uncultured bacterium
Lineage: Bacteria
Description: bacterial SSU rRNA
Rfam family: Bacterial small subunit ribosomal RNA
Source: RNAcentral